UACAGAGGUCCCGAGCGUUGUUCGGAUUCAUUGGGCGUAAAGGGUGCGUAGGCGGGGGAGUAAGUUUGAUGUGAGAUUCCAGGGCUCAACCUUGGGACUGCAUUGAAUACUGCUUUCCUAGAGUACUGGAGAGGAAACUGGAAUUUACGGUGUAGCAGUGAAAUGCGUAGAGAUCGUAAGGAAGACCAGUGGCGAAGGCGAGCUUCUGGACAGUUACUGACGCUGAGGCACGAAGGCCAGGGGAGCAAACGGG
RNAcentral lists this ribosomal RNA (253 nucleotides) under uncultured bacterium. RNAcentral's name for it is "partial 16S ribosomal RNA". It matches the Rfam family "Bacterial small subunit ribosomal RNA", at positions 524 to 776 of the family's 1533-position model. The record is from RNAcentral.